Non-coding RNA from Myotis davidii, 76 nucleotides. NCBI's taxonomy places the organism in Eukaryota, Metazoa, Chordata, Mammalia, Chiroptera, Vespertilionidae. The record is from Rfam.
GGUGGUUCUCGGACGAUGCACCCUGGACUGGGGCUCCCUCCUCUCUGAUUCUGGGGUAUGUCACCCAAGAACCACC